This 253-nucleotide ribosomal RNA is filed under the name uncultured bacterium. RNAcentral's name for it is "partial 16S ribosomal RNA". It matches the Rfam family "Bacterial small subunit ribosomal RNA", at positions 524 to 776 of the family's 1533-position model. The record is from RNAcentral.
UACGAAGGGUGCAAACGUUGCUCGGAAUUAUUGGGCGUAAAGCGCACGUAGGCGGCUUUGCAAGUCGGAUGUGAAAUCCCUCGGCUCAACCAAGGAAGUGCAUCCGAAACUGCAGAGCUUGAGUACCAAAGAGGAUCGCGGAAUUCCCGGUGUAGAGGUGAAAUUCGUAGAUAUCGGGAGGAACACCAGUGGCGAAGGCGGCGAUCUGGGUGGAUACUGACGCUCAUGCUCGAAAGCGUGGGGAGCAAACAGG